GACGAACGCUGGCGGCGUGCUUAACACAUGCAAGUCGAGCGGUAAGGCCCUUUCGGGGGUACGACGAGCGGCGAACGGGUGAGUAACACGUGGGUGACCUGCCCUCAGCUCUGGGAUAAGCCUGGGAAACUGGGUCUAAUACUGAAUAUGACUCCACGGUGCAUGUCGUGGGGUGGAAAGCCUUGUGCGGCUGAGGAUGGGCCCGCGGCCUAUCAGCUUGUUGGUGGGGUGAUGGCCUACCAAGGCGACGACGGGUAGCCGGCCUGAGAGGGCGACCGGCCACACUGGGACUGAGACACGGCCCAGACUCCUACGGGAGGCAGCAGUGGGGAAUCUUGCGCAAUGGGCGAAAGCCUGACGCAGCGACGCCGCGUGAGGGAUGACGGCCUGG
Molecule: ribosomal RNA, 391 nt
Filed under: uncultured bacterium
Lineage: Bacteria
Description: bacterial SSU rRNA
Rfam family: Bacterial small subunit ribosomal RNA
Source: RNAcentral